RNAcentral lists this unclassified non-coding RNA (269 nucleotides) under Glomeraceae sp. RNAcentral describes it as "partial contains 5.8S ribosomal RNA and internal transcribed spacer 2". Lineage: Eukaryota; Fungi; Glomeromycota; Glomeromycetes; Glomerales; Glomeraceae. The record is from RNAcentral.
GUGAAUCAUCGAAUCUUUGAACGCAAAUUGCACUCUCCUCGAAUAGUAUGCCUGUUUGAGGUUCAGCCUAUAAAAAAUCGACAUCCUUGCUGUUUCGCGGUGGCGUUCGUCGGAACUUGGGUCAUCUUAAUUCUUUUGGUUUUAAGCGACUUAAAAUUUUCUUUUUGGUUCCAUGAACGUUUCUAAGAUUUAUGUCUUUACACGUUUAAGGUAUCGAUUUUUAUUAGACGUGACCAUCAUAUCGGAUCUCGCUCAUAAUCUUUCAUCAC